CCUUCGGGAGCUGACGAGUGGCGGACGGGUGAGUAACGCGUAGGAAUCUGCCUCAUAGUGGGGGACAACGUGGGGAAACCCACGCUAAUACCGCAUACGCCCUACGGGGGAAAGCGGGGGCUCCGGUUCUUCGGAAUGGGACCUCGCGCUAUGAGAUGAGCCUGCGUUAGAUUAGCUAGUUGGUAGGGUAAAGGCCUACCAAGGCGACGAUCUAUAGCUGGUCUGAGAGGACGAUCGGCCACACUGGGACUGAGACACGGCCCAGACUCCUACGGGAGGCAGCAGUGGGGAAUAUUGGACAAUGGGCGCAAGCCUGAUCCAGCAAUACCGCGUGUGUGAAGAAGGCCUUAGGGUUGUAAAGCACUUUCAAUGGGGAGGAAAACCUGCCGGUCAAUACCCGGUAGCUUGACAUUACCUUUAGAAGAAGCACCGGCUAACUCCGUGCCAGCAGCCGCGGUAAUACGGAGGGUGCGAGCGUUAAUCGGAAUUACUGGGCGUAAAGCGUGCGUAGGCGGUUCGUUAAGUCAGAUGUGAAAGCCCUGGGCUCAACCUGGGAACUGCAUUUGAAACUGGCGGACUAGAGUUUAGUAGAGGGGAGUGGAAUUUCAGGUGUAGCGGUGAAAUGCGUAGAUAUCUGAAGGAACACCAGUGGCGAAGGCGACUCCCUGGACUAGAACUGAUGCUGAGGUACGAAAGCGUGGGUAGCAAACAGGAUUAGAUACCCUGGUAGUCCACGCCGUAAACGAUGUCAACUAGCCGUUGGUCCUAUUUACAGGAUUAGUGGCGCAGCUAACGCAUUAAGUUGACCGCCUGGGGGAGUACGGCCGCAAGGGUUAAAACUC
This 842-nucleotide ribosomal RNA is filed under the name uncultured Methylobacter sp. RNAcentral describes it as "bacterial SSU rRNA". It matches the Rfam family "Bacterial small subunit ribosomal RNA", at positions 77 to 902 of the family's 1533-position model. The record is from RNAcentral. Lineage: Bacteria; Pseudomonadati; Pseudomonadota; Gammaproteobacteria; Methylococcales; Methylococcaceae.